CACAUCGAGUGCUGUGGAGAUGUCUGGGUAGGAGAACGGCUGUGGGUGAGUUUUCUGUGAGAGGCAAAGGCAGGAGAAUUCUGUCCCAUUGUGUUGCCUGGAACUCUCCACCUGGGGAACUCAGAAGUUGUUCAUAAUCACACAUGAGGUAGCACAGGGUGUGUGGAAAAGUGCUUUUGUGGUAAAUGUAAAACAGAAAAUGUGAUAGCUAUGUGGAAGCAAACUUUAGAUAGCUAUGUGGAAGCAAAAAACAAAAUUGGUGACCUAGCAUAGUUGUAUAGUGAGUGACUCUUUAGAUUCUGACAUUGAUUUCUUGGAAUACUGUAGUGUUAGGUACUCAGAAACAAUUGUACAUACACAGUAACCUAGGUGGUUGAACUGACCCCUUCUUUUCUUUCUAAGGGUUGAAACAAGCAGUGGGAGCUUUCUUAAUCAUGAUGUUUUGGUAUCUUGUUCAGCCCAUUUUUUGGCGCUGGCCAUCGCAGCAGGUCAGGGUGUGGUGUUUUUAACAACACUCUUAUGGACAUCUACUUUGUGUUUAUGAUGAUCUUUUCAGGUAUCACGGUAAAUCUUAAAACCAUGGCACCUCGGCUCGUGUGGCUUCAGUAUUUCAGUAUUCUGUACUACGGUUUCAUGGCUUUGCAACAUAAUGAAUUUUUGGGAGAAGACUAUUGUGUAGGACUCAAUACAAAAGAAAGCAGUAGCUGUCCCAACUAAGUAAUGUAAGUUUUUGUUCAGUGUUGUAACGCAUUUGCUUAUUACUGCAGUAUGAUGUAGGAUGCCCUGCAGCUGUAGAGCUGGAAAGGUCCUUCCAAGGUCCAUCAAUCAUUCUGGACCUGUGUUUUCUUAAUCAUAAGCUGAGUCCUUGUGUAGCAAUGAUGUGACCACGCUGUAUUUGCACUCUGACGCAGUCAACGUAUAUUUAACAUACAGAAAUAUUUUGGGUCCUUUGAAAGAUUGUUUUCCUGUUUUGAUUGUGGCUGUUAGUUCUUCUCAGGACAUUUCCAUUUAAACUGAGCUGCUUUCAGUUUAGCAAGGGUUCGCACUUUUGUGCACUAAAUGGAUCAUAUGCUACGUAUGAGCUGAAAACAUGGACGAUGGUGAGACUCGGACGGGCAGUAGUGACUUACACAGGGCGAUCAUUGCCCUACCAGGACUCUGCACUUCCCUUUGCCUCACACUUUCUGAAAACACCAUAAAAUCAAAGGAUGAACUGCUCUGUACAUGUGUGUGUGUGUGAACUAGGAAUACUCCCUGUCAUAGGAGCAUCAUAUCCCCUAAAGAAAGAAGCACAUAUUUCAUAAGUUGAGAAGGAAAUUUUACUUUUGAAUAAUAUGAUUGAAGCAAAUACAGGC
Long non-coding RNA from Fukomys damarensis (Damara mole-rat), 1355 nucleotides. RefSeq lists it as uncharacterized. The record is from RefSeq and is a predicted model, not a curated record. Lineage: Eukaryota; Metazoa; Chordata; Mammalia; Rodentia; Bathyergidae. The transcript has 3 exons.